RNAcentral lists this ribosomal RNA (253 nucleotides) under uncultured bacterium. Its description in RNAcentral is "partial 16S ribosomal RNA". It matches the Rfam family "Bacterial small subunit ribosomal RNA", at positions 524 to 776 of the family's 1533-position model. The record is from RNAcentral.
UACGGAGGGGGCUAGCGUUAUUCGGAAUUACUGGGCGUAAAGCGCACGUAGGCGGAUUGGAAAGUUGGGGGUGAAAUCCCAGGGCUCAACCCUGGAACUGCCUUCAAAACUCCCAGUCUUGAGGUCGAGAGAGGUGAGUGGAAUUCCGAGUGUAGAGGUGAAAUUCGUAGAUAUUCGGAGGAACACCAGUGGCGAAGGCGGCUCACUGGCUCGAUACUGACGCUGAGGUGCGAAAGCGUGGGGAGCAAACAGG